UUUUGGACAAUGGGGGAAACCCUGAUCCAGCCAUCCCGCGUGUGCGAUGAAGGCCUUCGGGUUGUAAAGCACUUUUGGCAGGAAAGAAAUCGCAUAGGUUAAUAACCUGUGUGGAUGACGGUACCUGCAGAAUAAGCACCGGCUAACUACGUGCCAGCAGCCGCGGUAAUACGUAGGGUGCAAGCGUUAAUCGGAAUUACUGGGCGUAAAGCGUGCGCAGGCGGUUCGGAAAGAAAGAUGUGAAAUCCCAGGGCUUAACAUUGGAACUGCAUUUUUAGCUCCCGAGCUAGAGUAUGUCAGAGGGGGGUGGAAUUCCGCGUGUAGCAGUGAAAUGCGUAGAUAUGCGGAGGAACACCAAUGGCGAAGGCAGCCCCCUGGGAUAAUACUGACGCUCAUGCACGAAA
Molecule: ribosomal RNA, 404 nt
Filed under: uncultured bacterium
Lineage: Bacteria
Description: bacterial SSU rRNA
Rfam family: Bacterial small subunit ribosomal RNA
Source: RNAcentral